Molecule: ribosomal RNA, 253 nt
Filed under: uncultured prokaryote
Description: partial 16S ribosomal RNA
Rfam family: Bacterial small subunit ribosomal RNA
Source: RNAcentral
UACGUAGGGGGCGAGCGUUGUCCGGAGUUACUGGGCGUAAAGCGUACGCAGGCGGUCUUUUAAGUUCAAAGUGACAGUCGUCGGCUCAACCGAGGAAGGCCUGGGAAGACUGAAAGACUUGAGGGCUCAAGAGGGACACGGAAUUCCGGGUGGAGUGGUGAAAUGCGUAGAUAUUGGGAAGAACACCGGUGGCGAAGGCGGCGACCUGGUCCUUGACUGACGCUGAGGCGCGAAAGCGUGGGGAGCAAACAGG